CAAAACGUCCCCAAACCUUCCCAUCCUCUAGAACCUUCCUCCAACUUCCACAACAUACGUGAAUAUUCCUACAAGUCUAUAUGACAAUUUUGGUCAUUUUUAUUUCAUUUUUAGCAUAUCCCCAAGAGCUAGGAAGUCCUAGAAACUUCUCCAAACAUAUUCCAACAUAUUUCCAAGCCUAAACCAAGUAUCAAAGUGAAGAUUAAAGUGGUUAAGGGUUUCCAAAUGAGGUCUAUACUUGUCUCCUCUUGUUGAAGAUAUUUGGGUGAGUAUUUUUAAGGUGGAGAAACCAUGGAAUUGAAGUGUUCUCGAAUUUUGAGAUUUCAAGACAUGAGAUAGGUUGGAAAGUCGAGAAGCGAGCUUUCAGGUAUGUUAAGGCUAUCCUUUCUUUCAUUUUGGCAUGAUCCUAAAAUAUGAACAAACAAAAGAGUAAGCGAGCUUCCAUAUUACUCUGCUCUUAGAAGCACAAGGAGUACUUCAGUCUUUGAUGUUCCUGUAGCCCUUUUAUGAUUGUUCCUUGACUUCUUAAGUCCCGAAGGGGCAUCCAUAGGUCGUAUGUUUCCGUAAUGGUGUCUAAAUCCCGAAGGGGACAUGUUGCACCUUAUUUUUACCAAGGCUAAACAAAGCACAACUUAUGGAGCUCUGAAAUAAUUAAUUAUGUAAAGAGUCGCCACCUAGCAUUUAAGGUAUACUAGGGUACCUAUAAAUUAUUAAUAUAUGCAGCUUAACAUGGUCUACGAAAAUAAGUGAGAUUCUAGGUAAGGGUUCAAAUUAUUCCGAAGGGAAGGUGUUAGACAUCCUUCAGAAUCCACAAAUGUGGUUCCCGGCUGGACCAAUUUAACUAUUCGAGGGAUGUGUAAAAAGGCUUGAUUAUUACUUACAAAAAUUAGUAGAAUUUAGACUAAAGAAUAACUAAUAUGACUAUUCACAUAAAUAAUCGUGCAAUAUGUAUUUUUUACAUAUGUGAUAUAAUAAUUACUUUUUUUAAAAAAAAAGGUUAUGUGCAACUUAGAAACUUGGGUAUGUGACAAAGGUAUAAAAAGAAAAUGGACAUGAAAUUAUUUUGCGCUCGAAGUGAGUUAACUAAUUUAACUAGUUAAGUAUGUACGCCUAAUCAAUUAAUUAUGAGAGUACAUUCUAAAGCCUAAAUAUUGAGGCAAAUCACCCUAUUUAUUCACUUAAGUGUGCUAAGCUAUUGAAUUAAAACUCUAGCGAAACAUGAUAACUAUCAGAAUAUUAACUACAAAAAUAAUAACUGUCUAAUAUUAAUUUAUCUAAAACACAUAAAAUUUAAAUCACCUAAGCAGAUCAUAAAUAAAUA
This is a long non-coding RNA of Lycium barbarum (goji berry), 1321 nucleotides long. RefSeq lists it as uncharacterized. NCBI's taxonomy places the organism in Eukaryota, Viridiplantae, Streptophyta, Magnoliopsida, Solanales, Solanaceae. The record is from RefSeq and is a predicted model, not a curated record. The transcript is spliced from 2 exons.